This 895-nucleotide ribosomal RNA is filed under the name Leodice americana. Its description in RNAcentral is "partial 16S ribosomal RNA". It matches the Rfam family "Bacterial large subunit ribosomal RNA", at positions 766 to 2579 of the family's 2925-position model. Lineage: Eukaryota; Metazoa; Annelida; Polychaeta; Eunicida; Eunicidae. The record is from RNAcentral.
GUUAAGAACCCACCGCCUAAUGUAUCAAUAUUACCGAAAAAAUAAACUCCAGAGGCUACAUACCUUUCGCGUAGAGUGAUAGCUGGUUUUCCUUUAAACCAGUUUAAGCUGACCAAACUAAAAAUUUAAAAAUAAUCUUAAAUUUAGUUAUGUAAAUAAAUCGAGGAAAAGCCCGAUUUAAGCCCUUAUUUAUCUCAUAAACAAUAAAAAUAGUAGGCUUAGAACCAGCCAUCUAAUAUUUCGUUAUAGUAAAAACAAAAGCAAAAUAAAAAAAAAAUAAAAAAAAAAGGAAUAAAAGUUAAAACUAACAACUUAAAAACUAUGCAAAGAUGAGUAUUCUUACUAAAUAUUAAACACUCAUAUAUAGGGAAGGAACUCGGCAAAUAGAAGCUCCGACUGUUUAACAAAAACAUAGCCUGUUGAAAAAAAGAUAAUAGGUAAACCCUGCCCAGUGAUUUAUUAAACGGCCGCGGUAGCCUGACCGUGCAAAGGUAGCAUAAUCAUUUGCCUCCUAAUUAGAGGCUAGUAUGAACGGACAAACGAGAGCGACCCUGUCUCCCCCAUAACCAUAAAAAUUUACCUUCAGGUGAAGAGGCCUGAAUUAAUAUAAAAGACAAGAAGACCCUGACGAGCUUUAAUCAAGAUAAAUUAAUAAUUUACUAAAAAUAUUAAAAUUUAAAUAUGAUUUUUGUUGGGGCGACAAAGGAAUAAACAAAUCUUCCUAUAAAAAAAAGAACAUAAUUCACCCAAAUGAUCCACUAUGUGACCACUAGACAUAGCUACCGCAGGGAUAACAGACUAAUCUUCCUCAAGAGCCCAAAUCUACAGGAAGGCUUGGCACCUCGAUGUUGGCUUAAGAUCUCUUUUAGAUGCAGCAGUCUAAAAAGAUGGUUUG